CAGGAUGAACGCUAGCGGCAGGCUAACACAUGCAAGUCGAGGGGCAGCGGGAUGUAGCAAUACAUUGCCGGCGACCGGCGGAUGGGUGCGUAACGCGUAUGCAACCUACCUUAUACAGGGGAAUAACCUUUCGAAAGGGAGACUAACACCCCAUAGUAUUGAUUUAAGGCAUCUUAGAUUAAUUAAAUAUUUAUAGGUAUAAGAUGGGCAUGCGUAUGAUUAGCUAGUUGGUAAGGUAACGGCUUACCAAGGCGACGAUCAUUAGGGGUUCUGAGAGGAAGGUCCCCCACACUGGUACUGAGACACGGACCAGACUCCUACGGGAGGCAGCAGUGAGGAAUAUUGGCCAAUGGGCGCAAGCCUGAACCAGCCAUGCCGCGUGCAAGGAAGACGGCCUUAUGGGUUGUAAACUGCUUUUACAUAAGACUAACCGUAUAUUUGCGAAUAUACCUGAAUCGUAUUAUGAGUAAUAAGGAUCGGCUAACGUCCGUGCCAGCCGCCGC
This 503-nucleotide ribosomal RNA is filed under the name uncultured bacterium. RNAcentral describes it as "bacterial SSU rRNA". It matches the Rfam family "Bacterial small subunit ribosomal RNA", at positions 25 to 518 of the family's 1533-position model. The record is from RNAcentral.